GACGAACCGUCCAAACGUUAUUCGGAAUCACUGGGCUUAAAGGGUGCGUAGGCGGUUCGGUAAGUUGGGUGUGAAAGCCCUCAGCUCAACUGAGGAAUAGCGCCCAAUACUGCCGGGCUGGAGGGAGACAUAGGUGAGCGGAACUUAGGGUGGAGCGGUGAAAUGCGUUGAGAUCCUAAGGAACACCAGUAGCGUAAGCGGCUCACUGGGUCUCUUCUGACGCUGAAGCACGAAAGCUAGGGGAGCGAAG
This 250-nucleotide ribosomal RNA is filed under the name uncultured bacterium. Its description in RNAcentral is "partial 16S ribosomal RNA". It matches the Rfam family "Bacterial small subunit ribosomal RNA", at positions 524 to 773 of the family's 1533-position model. The record is from RNAcentral.